AUGGAGACCAUAAGAAGGUGUGAUUCUGCCAGUGGAAGAGUCGGCGCCCUCCUCAGCAGGACCUCCCUCACUCACUUCGCAGCCAGAAAGGGAUGGACCGAGGUCCCCUGCACCCGCCUGGACAAGGGAACGACCUUCCUUCCACCCUCCCUGCGCACCCGAUCUGUGCCCAUCAUCCCUUCGCUUCAAGCGUGUGACCUCGAGGCGGGGAAUGUGGACACGAAUGACCGGAUCCAAGGGGGGCUCAUAAAGUGGCACCCCAUGCUGGCUGGGAAGACAGUGGUGCCCAUUAGCAAUUCUCCAUCUCCACCCUGUGAGACUGUUGUGCUGGCGCCUGGUGUUAUGCCCAGCAGUGUUAGCCCCCCUGCCACCACCACCACCGUUACACUGGGGUCGGAGAAGAAUCUCAGCUCCACACAAACACCCUGCGCCAUUGAAAUUACGGUGGAACUUGGGCACGAAUUAAAACAGAAAAGCCUUCCCAGCCCCAUGAAAAUUUCUGGGUCUCACAGCGAGAGCCAACGCCGUGGCACAAACACUCCAGAGGCUGGGACUGUGCGGGAGUCAGAAGGGAAAAGUGUCCAAUAUUCAGCCAGAGUUCUGCACACAGGCAGUGGGACCAGAGGUUUGAAGGCAGCAGGCCAAAGAGAAGCCCAGGGACAGUGCCAAGGUCAGACGUCCCUCGUGUACGGAGGCGCAAACUGCUCCUUGGCCACCAAAGGACCCAGCUGCAGAGGAACUGGAAACGCUUAUGCCAAGCCCUCUGCAAGCUGAUUGGAUUAAGUCUGUAAAGCUUCAAAGACAGUGUUUCCAAUAACUGUAUACCUUUGCUGGUGGCACAGAAUGGUUGGAAGGUGACACCAUCUGUGUGGCCGCAUGGACCAAUAACAGAUGGCUGUUCGAUUUUGAAGGAACGUCAACAGAUUGAACUGCCGAGGGAAAAAAUAUUGACACAACAAAAGACAAAUUAUAAAGAAAAAGAGACAAACAAACACACAUUGUGAAUAAAUGUGACUCAAUAAGGAAAACAAAACCGUGACUUGAGUGGGAGCUUGACUUAAACAGUGUAUUGAAAAAAAAUGCCACUAUUUAAAAGGAGCUUCUACUUAGAAACCAAAAUAGUGUGUCAUCUCUAUGUUGUUUCUCUAUUGUAAAGAAAUGAAAUUAUAUAUGUCAUAUAAUAUAUGUCAUAUAGACGUAUAUAUAUUUGACUACAAUUGUGACAAAAUAAAGACUAAGAUAACAGUGUUAAUUAAGGGCUUUGUUCAUCUCAAUCCAUUUUUGCUACAUGAUCUAAAGAAUAUAUGCUUAUGUUUGUAAUUGUCCAUACAUAUAAUAUACAGGAUAAUCAGUACAAACACUAAAGAUGUACAAUCCAACAUAAAAUAUGCCAUGGUUAGGACUAAUUUAAGCUGAGUUUUCCCUUUAUCUCCAUGGCAACAAACACCUGUCGCAUGCACUUCUUCCUCUUUCUGGGAGAAUUUAAUCAUGCACCUUUUUAGCUAUCCCUAUUAGCCCAACCCUAAAACAGCCACACUAAUUAAGUAUAGUUCAUUAUUUUUGCUUCAGAUACAGGUAGCUGUUUUUCAUGUGUGCAUGUGUGUGCUGGUGGGAUGUUCCACAGGAAUUAAUGAGGGAUAAGAAGGUGCAAAAGGAAGGAGAAAGUACUCCCCUGAAACAACCUUCUCUCUUUUAUUCUUAAGUUUUGAAAAAAGUUUCUACACACAUCUCACAGUGAAAGCACAAAAUGAGUGGAGCAUAAUGGUUAAAGGCUUGGUGAAGGAGCAGUGUGAGCAGUGUAUGUGAAGAAAAGGGUAUUUCAGUCUAUACUUAUUAUUUCCCACGAUGUUCUUACUUGUAUCCAUAGGCUAUAAACACAAAAGAUCAACUUUACUGUUUUGAGUUAUAACAAUGGCCAUGAGGUUUGUGAAUGGAAAUGAACCACAGCAGCAUAUGAGCCGAGUACAAUUCUUUAUUUAUGCUUCAUUUAAGUCAAAUUCAGUAUAUCUGCGUUUCCUCCUUUUCAGGUUUGCAAUGACUGCUGGCAAGGUAAGUUGUACAGGACUUACAAAUGGGUAUUACUGAGACUGAAAACUAUCUUGCGUCUAUAAGAAGGUUUUUAUGAAGAUUAAAAUGAACUUCAUUGAUCCCCGAGAAGAAAUGGAGCCAAGCUGCGAAGGAAAGAUAAAAUUACCAUAAAUAAAAACUAUUUAGGGUUCUAAAUACAUACAGUGUGUGUUAGCGAGGCAGAAUUUCACAGCAUUUUCAGAUGUUUACAUACUGUACUUACUCUGCGGUGCAAGACUACAAAGGGAAGGUGUGCAAAUACAGACGGAUGCCAUAUUCAAGGGGAAAAUCGGAAUAAAUAAGUGGAGAAACAUAAUGAAUGCAAAUACUCCCAGAGAGGACACAGGGGCUCCCUGACGAGUAUUAAAAUGAUAUGAUAUAAGCUAUACCCUUCAUAGUCACUGGAUUGCAACCCAGUUAAAAACCUAUAGAAGAUUAUAGACUGACAACAUCAUCAACACAAAUGAGGAGAAAAUCUUUAGGAAGAGUUCCAGAUGUAGAAUCUAUUCCAAGGAUCAAAAAAGCUGUCAAUGAGGCCCAUGGCAGCCCAACAACUUACUAAGACAGCCAUCUUUAUGCAUCAUUAUCCAUUCACGGUAUCAUAUUUAUGAUUCAGAUGCACACAUUUGCAUCAUUGGCUGCUCAUGAUGAUAAUAAAUGUAAACAAUAUGUACAGAAAUCUGUGCAGGACAUUUUUGAAGGUGGAGGGAUGGGUGGCACAAACAUUUACCAUUUGUGAUAAGAGCUUCUUUGUAUGAAGCAUCAUUAACUGGAGGUAAAAUGCAAACACUGAGAGCACACAGAAAAAAGCUGUAUUAAAAAAAAUUAUUAUUAUUUACAACUUU
Molecule: long non-coding RNA, 2912 nt
Organism: Dicentrarchus labrax (European seabass)
Lineage: Eukaryota; Metazoa; Chordata; Actinopteri; Moronidae
Source: Ensembl